This is a long non-coding RNA of Vigna angularis (adzuki bean), 691 nucleotides long. RefSeq lists it as uncharacterized. NCBI's taxonomy places the organism in Eukaryota, Viridiplantae, Streptophyta, Magnoliopsida, Fabales, Fabaceae. The transcript is spliced from 3 exons. The record is from RefSeq and is a predicted model, not a curated record.
AAAAGAAUACUUUGACAUGGCCAAAGUAUUUGACAUUCAUAUGACACGCGGUGGGGCCCAAAUUUUGUGAAUGUACAAAAGGGUGAUAUUGUCAUUUACCCUCUAAAUUAAACGCUGCGUUUUAUUCAGGGUGCUCUCUGUAUUCAGUUUUCCAGUUUGUCUGAUUUCACAUUUUGGAAGAGCUCUUCGUGCUUUGCUAGGGUUGGGGGUGAUAGAGAAGCAGAGAAGUGGAAGAGCGUGCUGUGGUAGGGUUCGGUUGAUAGAGAAGGCGAGAACUCCAUGGGUGCCACUUAAUCGGAGGGUGUACGAGAAGCACAAUUAGCUCACUACAAGUACAUGUUGGUUGUCGGAGAGGAGGAAGCAAAUACUGGACAGGUUUUUGCAAGUGAUAUUGGUUGCCGAAGUGAUGACCUAGUACGUCUAUCAAUAUCAAUUGUUACCAAAAGCCUCCAACAUGUUCUGUUGAUGACAUCCUUAGCAAAUUGAUUUCACCUGUUUACAACGACAAACAUGAAAGCAGUGGAUCAAAUAAAAACAAUUAAAAGUAAAACAAAUUGAGGACUUUCAUAAUUUGUUGAUUUGUAUUUCAAUUUUAUCCUUGUCAUUUUUGAAUAUUGUGCGUGGUUACACGACUUUGUUAUGUAGUACAAUUAGUGAAGUACUAAAGUUAGCUUCAUGAAUGUGUUGUUGC